RNAcentral lists this ribosomal RNA (421 nucleotides) under uncultured bacterium. Its description in RNAcentral is "partial 16S ribosomal RNA". It matches the Rfam family "Bacterial small subunit ribosomal RNA", at positions 360 to 773 of the family's 1533-position model. The record is from RNAcentral.
AAUAUUGGACAAUGGGCGAAAGCCUGAUCCAGCCAUGCCGCGUGUGUGAAGAAGGUCUUCGGAUUGUAAAGCACUUUAAGUUGGGAGGAAGGGCUUUAGGUUAAUACCCUGAAGUUUUGACGUUACCAACAGAAUAAGCCCCGGCUAACUUUGUUCCAGCAGCCGCGGUCAUACCAAGGGUGAAAGCGUUAAUUGUAAUUACUGGGCGUAAAGCGCGCGUAGGUAGUUUGUUAAGUUGGAAGUGAAAUCCCCGGGCUUAACCUGGGAACUGCUUUCAGAACUGCUGAGCUAGAGUACGGUAGAGGGUAGUGGAAUUUCCUGUGUAGCGGUGAAAUGCGUAGAUAUAGGAAGGAACACCAGUGGCGAAGGCGACUACCUGGACUGAUACUGACACUGAGGUGCGAAAGCGUGGGGAGCAAAC